GCCAGCAUGGUGUAGUGGUUUGAGCAUUGGACUACAACUCUGGAGACGAGGGUUCAAUUCCCAGCUUGGCC
Molecule: transfer RNA, 71 nt
Filed under: Phrynosoma platyrhinos (Desert horned lizard)
Lineage: Eukaryota; Metazoa; Chordata; Lepidosauria; Squamata; Phrynosomatidae
Description: tRNA-OTHER
Source: RNAcentral